GUGUCUUCCCGCAAGGGAAGACGCUAGUGGGGAACGGCUGAGUAACACGUAGGUGACCUGCCCAGAGGUGGGGGAUAACGAUUCGAAAGAGUCGCUAAUACCGCAUGUGCUCGGCGAUUCAAUUUGCCGAGUAAAGCCGAAAGGCGCAUUGAGAGGGGCCUGCGUCCCAUCAGGUAGUUGGUGAGGUAAUAGCGCGCCCGGCCGAUGACGGGUAGCUGGUCUGAGAGGACGAUCAGCCACUAUGGAAUUGAUGCACGGUCCAUACUCUUUCUCUGAUCUCGCUGUAAACUCGAGCC
Molecule: unclassified non-coding RNA, 296 nt
Filed under: uncultured bacterium
Lineage: Bacteria
Description: partial contains 16S ribosomal RNA and 16S-23S ribosomal RNA intergenic spacer region
Rfam family: Bacterial small subunit ribosomal RNA
Source: RNAcentral